AUUCGCUUUAGCCUUUGAGAAAGAUAAAAGCACAAUGUUACUUUUUGCACUCUAUCUUAUCCUAUAUACAAAAAAUCUCCGUCUCGUUGUUACGGUUCAACGCAGUCUCAUAAUUUUUUAUGUAUAUUAUCAUAUGGUCACACUUAAAUCUAUGAUGUAUAUCAUCAUAAAUGUGCACUUUUAUGUAUGAUGUGUAUCAUCACACAAACACAUUGAUAAUCUGACCCGCACCCCACCCCCUUCCAACUCCUAAAUGGACACGUGUACGAUGAUAUACAUCAUAGAUUUAAGUAUGAC
This is a non-coding RNA of Paramuricea clavata, 297 nucleotides long. The record is from the annotation of a GenBank genome assembly. Lineage: Eukaryota; Metazoa; Cnidaria; Anthozoa; Malacalcyonacea; Plexauridae.